AGCGAACGCUGGCGGCAGGCCUAACACAUGCAAGUCGAACGGAUCCUUCGGGAUUAGUGGCGGACGGGUGAGUAACACGUGGGAACGUGCCCUUUGGUUCGGAACAACUCAGGGAAACUUGAGCUAAUACCGGAUGUGCCCUUCGGGGGAAAGAUUUAUCGCCAUUGGAGCGGCCCGCGUCUGAUUAGCUAGUUGGUGAGGUAACGGCCCACCAAGGCGACGAUCAGUAGCUGGUCUGAGAGGAUGAUCAGCCACACUGGGACUGAGACACGGCCCAGACUCCUACGGGAGGCAGCAGUGGGGAAUCUAGCGCAAUGGGCGAAAGCCUGACGCAGCCAUGCCGCGUGAAUGAUGAAGGUCUUAGGAUUGGAAAAUUCUUUCAGCGGGGACGAUAAUGACGGUACCCGCAGAAGAAGCUCCGGCUAACUUCGUG
This 433-nucleotide ribosomal RNA is filed under the name uncultured bacterium. RNAcentral describes it as "partial 16S ribosomal RNA". It matches the Rfam family "Bacterial small subunit ribosomal RNA", at positions 29 to 507 of the family's 1533-position model. The record is from RNAcentral.